This 666-nucleotide ribosomal RNA is filed under the name Bacillus sp. 13524. RNAcentral's name for it is "bacterial SSU rRNA". It matches the Rfam family "Bacterial small subunit ribosomal RNA", at positions 64 to 713 of the family's 1533-position model. The record is from RNAcentral. Lineage: Bacteria; Bacillati; Bacillota; Bacilli; Caryophanales; Bacillaceae.
GAGCGGAAGAUGGGAGCUUGCUCCCUGAUGUUAGCGGCGGACGGGUGAGUAACACGUGGGUAACCUGCCUGUAAGACUGGGAUAACUCCGGGAAACCGGGGCUAAUACCGGAUGCUUGUUUGAACCGCAUGGUUCAAACAUAAAAGGUGGCUUCGGCUACCACUUACAGAUGGACCCGCGGCGCAUUAGCUAGUUGGUGAGGUAAUGGCUCACCAAGGCAACGAUGCGUAGCCGACCUGAGAGGGUGAUCGGCCACACUGGGACUGAGACACGGCCCAGACUCCUACGGGAGGCAGCAGUAGGGAAUCUUCCGCAAUGGACGAAAGUCUGACGGAGCAACGCCGCGUGAGUGAUGAAGGUUUUCGGAUCGUAAAGCUCUGUUGUUAGGGAAGAACAAGUGCCGUUCAAAUAGGGCGGCACCUUGACGGUACCUAACCAGAAAGCCACGGCUAACUACGUGCCAGCAGCCGCGGUAAUACGUAGGUGGCAAGCGUUGUCCGGAAUUAUUGGGCGUAAAGGGCUCGCAGGCGGUUUCUUAAGUCUGAUGUGAAAGCCCCCGGCUCAACCGGGGAGGGUCAUUGGAAACUGGGGAACUUGAGUGCAGAAGAGGAGAGUGGAAUUCCACGUGUAGCGGUGAAAUGCGUAGAGAUGUGGAGGAACACCAGU